UUUUGUUGGGAGAAAAUGAUAAUUACUUCCCUUCAGCUCUUAAAAACGUAAACAAUUAAGCUUGUAGAAUAUAUUGUGUAUCUGGAGAAAUGGUAUAUUUUCAUGCUUUAGACUAUGACUGUUGUGAGAGCUGACACCACCUUCACAAGCGGGAACAAGACGAAGCCACAUACAUUUGGUACAGCAGAAGAUUGUUACUCAUAUUCUGGAAGCUGCAAACGAAUAGGAACCUUUCACAUCGACACGCUGGGCACAGGGAUGAAGUUCUCCACUGAUCUUAAGUGGACUAGAAAAGGAUACGCAAGCAAACUGCACAGUGUAGCCCGGACACAGAAUGGCGCCGUCAUUGAUCUGGUGUGUGGAGGCUGGUGAGGGGGAUGCGAUUCUGAAGGAGAGAUGAUCCUCUACCCAAAGAAUCUGGAUAUUCAGCCUUAGGUCUACCCGUUGUGUGGAGGAUUGUGUGGAUUGUUUUAAGUUUAAAUCCGCAAAUUGAAACAUUAAGUAAACCGAGAUAUCUGUAAGUAAAAAAACAAUUUAGUGUGAAACCAAUAACCAACAAACAAAUGGUACACAAUCAACAAUUGUAUUAUCAAAUGAACUAGGUUUACAAAUCUAUACAACUUACUGCACAGGAAUUACAAUGGCAGUAUACAAUAGAAUGGUAGUACAAUAUUCAGUAGCACUAUUUAAUAUGAUAGCAGUGGUCAAUAUCGAUUAUAAAAAUGAAAAGUGAUCUUCACACGAGAGUUGGUCUUGAUGUUAUGUCAGAUGAAAUGUGAGAUGAGACAGGGACGAGCCCUCUAAACGAAAAUAGACUGACCAGCUGCCAGCACUUUCUACACAGUGCUAGGCCAGUCCAAUGCCACUGAAACUGUAAACUGCAGAGUCGCCAUUUGUCGCAAAGAAAAAAACAGCGGAGGCAGCUUGAGUGUAAUUAGCGUUUCCUUUCCUCUCCAAUUAUGAACUAUCAAUAAUGCAAGUUCGCCAACUAUGUUUCACUCCGGACAUUUUAUAUUUAUUGCAAUGGUCAUUAUGACUUAUUUGAAAUGUAUUUGGGUGUACAUUUUAUAUGUAUAAAAGACUUAAUGUUAUGAUUGUCAUAAGAAGAAUGUGCACACACCGAUAACCAUAAAGCAACGGCAUAGCUGUCUUAAAUGUUGCCUUCUAUUUCCGCGUGUUCUAUCACGGCUUAUCAGAUAUGGCAAUGGGAAUGUUACAACAUUUUCAACAAUAUUCCAGUUUCAAGCCACUUGCUGCAAUAACAUGCGAGACGUGUAGCACACAAUGACACAUAAACCAACCAAUACAUCCUAACUUGAUCCGAUCGGAGUCAACUCUACAAGAAUGGGGAGGUUGGGGUCGAGCCUAUUCUACCUUGGUAUGCCUUUAAGUAUUUGUAGGGAGAAAGUUCUGUUAUACAAUAGAAACAUAGGGCAUAGGUAGACUCACGUUGGAGUGAAAGUGCUUAUCCACACAAAACACAAAAACAAAUAAACAAUAGAAACUGCUUUAGGUUCACAUUGUUGUGAUGUUGACAUGCAUGGUAAUCUUACUAUAUGUUGAUCGACGUAUGUGUUUUAAUGCUGUUCUGUGUACCUGUUUCCCCCAAAUGCUGUGCAUAUUGACGUGUCUCUUAUGGUGUCACUAAUUUUGAACGGACAAGUUAGUUUUAGUUUGAAUAAUAUUUAGAAACAUUACACUAAUGAUGGACAUACGAAGAUAUAGGUUGUUCAACUUCUAUGCUGUAGAUGAUUUCAAAGAGUGUGUUUGUUCCAAGAAAAAAACAAUUUCACCACUUUUACUAAUCAUUCACUAUAGAUGUUUAUCAUCAUCACAAAAUUCAUUCCUUUAUUGUUUUAAUAUAUAAUACAUUAUAUAAUUAAGAUUUCAAUUUUGUUCAACAACUUGUUUGCAAUAUCCACGAGAGUUGAGAUAUAAUUGGCCAGUAUGUCAAAAGUCACGGUUAACUAAUAAGAAUCUGUGAUUCACAUCGACACGCUGGGCACGGGGAUGAAGUUCUCCACUGAUGUAAGUGAUUCCUUUUCGCUAGCGUUUUAAAUAUGCAUGAUGUGUUAAAGUGAAUCGUCGAUAACAUUCAAAGAACAAAGAACAACCAUUGUUUUUUCGUAUAAUUAAAUGAUGACCAUUACUAUCUUGAUAGUAGCAAAGUUCGUUCAUACUUAUUUUGUAAAACGCAUCAAAGUAAUACCAUUCAUAUCCAGCUUAAGUGGACUAGAAAAGGAUACGCAAGCAAACUGCACAGUGUAGCCCGGCCACAGAAUGGCGCCGUCAUUGAUCUGGUGUGUGGAGGCUGGUGUGGAGGAUGCGAUCCUGAAGGAUGGAUGAUCCUCUACCCAAAGAAUCUGGAUAUUCAGCCAUAGGUCUACCCGUUGUGUGGAGGAUUGUGUGGAUUGUGUUAAGUUUAAAUCCGCAAAUUGAAACAUUAAGUUAACCGAGAUAUCUGUAAGUAAAAAAACAAUUUAGUGUGAAACCAAUAACCAACCAACAAAUGGUACACAAUCAACAAUUGUAUUAUCAAAUGAACUAGGUUUACAAAUCUAUACAACUUACUGCACAGGAAUUACAAUGGCAGUAUACAAUAGAAUGGUAGUACAAUAUUCAGUAGCACUAUUUAAUAUGAUAGCAGUGGUCAAUAUCGAUUAUAAAAAUGAAAAGUGAUCUUCACACGAGAGUUGGUCUUGAUGUUAUGUCAGAUGAAAUGUGAGAUGAGACAGGGACGAGCCCUCUAAACGAAAAUAGACUGACCAGCUGCCAGCACUUUCUACACAGUGCUAGGCCAGUCCAAUGCCACUGAAACUGUAAACUGCAGAGUCGCCAUUUGUUGCAAAGAAAAAAACAGCGGAGGCAGCUUGAGUGUAAUGAGAGUUUCCUUUCCUCUCCAAUUAUGAACUAUCAAUAAUGCAAGUUCGCCAACUAUGUUUCACUCCGGACAUUUUAUAUUUAUUGCAAUGGUCAUUAUGACUUAUUUGAAAUGUAUUUGGGUGUACAUUUUAUAUGUAUAAAAGACUUAAUGUUAUGAUUGUCAUAAGAAGAAUGUGCACACACCGAUAACCAUAAAGCAACGGCAUAGCUGUCUUAAAUGUUGCCUUCUAUUUCCGCGUGUUCUAUCACGGCUUAUCAGAUAUGGCAAUGGGAAUGUUACAACAUUUUCAACAAUAUUCCAGUUUCAAGCCACUUGCUGCAAUAACAUGCGAGACGUGUAGCACACAAUGACACAUAAACCAACCAAUACAUCCUAACUUGAUCCGAUCGGAGUCAACUCUACAAGAAUGGGGAGGUUGGGGUCGAGCCUAUUCUACCUUGGUAUGCCUUUAAGUAUUUGUAGGGAGAAAGUUCUGUUAUACAAUAGAAACAUAGGGCAUAGGUAGACUCACGUUGGAGUGAAAGUGCUUAUCCACACAAAACACAAAAACAAAUAAACAAUAGAAACUGCUUUAGGUUCACAUUGUUGUGAUGUUGACAUGCAUGGUAAUCUUACUAUAUGUUGAUCGACGUAUGUGUUUUAAUGCUGUUCUGUGUACCUGUUUCCCCCAAAUGCUGUGCAUAUUGACGUGUCUCUUAUGGUGUCACUAAUUUUGAACGGACAAGUUAGUUUUAGUUUGAAUAAUAUUUAGAAACAUUACACUAAUGAUGGACAUACGAAGAUAUAGGUUGUUCAACUUCUAUGCUGUAGAUGAUUUCAAAGAGUGUGUUUGUUCCAAGAAAAAAACAAUUUCACCACUUUUACUAAUCAUUCACUAUAGAUGUUUAUCAUCAUCACAAAAUUCAUUCCUUUAUUGUUUUAAUAUAUAAUACAUUAUAUAAUUAAGAUUUCAAUUUUGUUCAACAACUUGUUUGCAAUAUCCACGAGAGUUGAGAUAUAAUUGGCCAGUAUGUCAAAAGUCACGGUUAACUAAUAAGAAUCUGUGAUUCACAUCGACACGCUGGGCACGGGGAUGAAGUUCUCCACUGAUCUUAAGUGGACUAGAAAAGGAUACGCAAGCAAACUGCACAGUGUAGCCCGGCCACAGAAUGGCGCCGUCAUUGAUCUGGUGUGUGGAGGCUGGUGUGGAGGAUGCGAUCCUGAAGGAUGGAUGAUCCUCUACCCAAAGAAUCUGGAUAUUCAGCCAUAGGUCUACCCGUUGUGUGGAGGAUUGUGUGGAUUGUGUUAAGUUUAAAUCCGCAAAUUGAAACAUUAAGUUAACCGAGAUAUCUGUAAGUAAAAAAACAAUUUAGUGUGAAACCAAUAACCAACCAACAAAUGGUACACAAUCAACAAUUGUAUUAUCAAAUGAACUAGGUUUACAAAUCUAUACAACUUACUGCACAGGAAUUACAAUGGCAGUAUACAAUAGAAUGGUAGUACAAUAUUCAGUAGCACUAUUUAAUAUGAUAGCAGUGGUCAAUAUCGAUUAUAAAAAUGAAAAGUGAUCUUCACACGAGAGUUGGUCUUGAUGUUAUGUCAGAUGAAAUGUGAGAUGAGACAGAGACGAGCCCGCUAAACGAAAAUAGUCUGACCAGCUGCCAGCACUUUCUACACAGUGCUAGGCCAGUCCAAUGCCACUGAAACUGUAAACUGCAGAGUCGCCAUUUGUCGCAAAGAAAAAAACAGCGGAGGCAGCUUGAGUGUAAUGAGAGUUUCCUUUCCUCUCCAAUUAUGAACUAUCAAUAAUGCAAGUUCGCCAACUAUGUUUCACUCCGGACAUUUUAUAUUUAUUGCAAUGGUCAUUAUGACUUAUUUGAAAUGUAUUUGGGUGUACAUUUUAUAUGUAUAAAAGACUUAAUGUUAUGAUUGUCAUAAGAAGAAUGUGCACACACCGAUAACCAUAAAGCAACGGCAUAGCUGUCUUAAAUGUUGCCUUCUAUUUCCGCGUGUUCUAUCACGGCUUAUCAGAUAUGGCAAUGGGAAUGUUACAACAUUUUCAACAAUAUUCCAGUUUCAAGCCACUUGCUGCAAUAACAUGCGAGACGUGUAGCACACAAUGACACAUAAACCAACCAAUACAUCCUAACUUGAUCCGAUCGGAGUCAACUCUACAAGAAUGGGGAGGUUGGGGUCGAGCCUAUUCUACCUUGGUAUGCCUUUAAGUAUUUGUAGGGAGAAAGUUCUGUUAUACAAUAGAAACAUAGGGCAUAGGUAGACUCACGUUGGAGUGAAAGUGCUUAUCCACACAAAACACAAAAACAAAUAAACAAUAGAAACUGCUUUAGGUUCACAUUGUUGUGAUGUUGACAUGCAUGGUAAUCUUACUAUAUGUUGAUCGACGUAUGUGUUUUAAUGCUGUUCCGUGUACCUGUUUCCCCCAAAUGCUGUGCAUAUUGACGUGUCUCUUAUGGUGUCACUAAUUUUGAACGGACAAGUUAGUUUUAGUUUGAAUAAUAUUUAGAAACAUUACACUAAUGAUGGACAUACGAAGAUAUAGGUUGUUCAACUUCUAUGCUGUAGAUGAUUUCAAAGAGUGUGUUUGUUCCAAGAAAAAAACAAUUUCACCACUUUUACUAAUCAU
Molecule: long non-coding RNA, 5507 nt
Organism: Haliotis rufescens (red abalone)
Lineage: Eukaryota; Metazoa; Mollusca; Gastropoda; Lepetellida; Haliotidae
Exons: 3
Source: RefSeq, a predicted model, not a curated record